Molecule: non-coding RNA, 196 nt
Organism: Oryza punctata
Lineage: Eukaryota; Viridiplantae; Streptophyta; Magnoliopsida; Poales; Poaceae
Source: Rfam
AAAAAGAACACGGUUUUUUUUAUCUAACGUUUGACCGUUCGUCUUAUUUGAAAUUAUUUUACAAUUGAUAUUUUUUUAUUGGAUGAUAAAACAUAAAUAGUACUUUAAGCGUAACUAUUUUUUUAAUUUUCUUAUAAUUUUUUUAAUAAAAUAGACAGUCAAACGUUAGACAUAGAAAUCUAUAGCUGCACUUAAA